RNAcentral lists this transfer RNA (77 nucleotides) under Mollicutes bacterium. RNAcentral describes it as "tRNA-Pro". It matches the Rfam family "tRNA". Rfam says of the family: Transfer RNA (tRNA) molecules are approximately 80 nucleotides in length. Their secondary structure includes four short double-helical elements and three loops (D, anti-codon, and T loops). Lineage: Bacteria; Bacillati; Mycoplasmatota; Mollicutes. The record is from RNAcentral.
CGGGAAAUGGCUCAACUUGGUAGAGCACUCGGUUUGGGACCGAGGGGUUGCAGGUUCAAAUCCUGUUUUCCCGACCA